Molecule: ribosomal RNA, 253 nt
Filed under: uncultured bacterium
Lineage: Bacteria
Description: partial 16S ribosomal RNA
Rfam family: Bacterial small subunit ribosomal RNA
Source: RNAcentral
UACGUAGGGGGCAAGCGUUGUCCGGAUUCAUUGGGCGUAAAGAGCGUGUAGGCGGCCAGGUAGGUCUGCUGUGAAAACUCGAGGCUUAACCUCGAGAUGUCGGCGGAAACCAUCUGGCUAGAGUCCGGAAGAGGAGAGUGGAAUUCCUGGUGUAGCGGUGAAAUGCGCAGAUAUCAGGAAGAACACCCGUGGCGAAGGCGGCUCUCUGGGACGGUACUGACGCUGAGACGCGAAAGCGUGGGGAGCGAACAGG